UGAGCGCACGCCCACCUGGAGCUGUAGGUGGUUCCAAGGGUUGGGUUGUUCGCCCAUUAAUGUGGUACAUGAGCUGGGUUCAGAACGUCAUGAGACAGUUC
Molecule: non-coding RNA, 101 nt
Filed under: Triticum aestivum (bread wheat)
Lineage: Eukaryota; Viridiplantae; Streptophyta; Magnoliopsida; Poales; Poaceae
Also listed under: 1 other name
Description: Bacterial large subunit ribosomal RNA
Rfam family: Bacterial large subunit ribosomal RNA
Source: Rfam by way of RNAcentral